UACGUACUUCCUCCGUUUCAAAUUACUCGUCGCAGAAAUGGAUGUAAUCUAGAACUAAAAUACAUCUAGAUACAUCCAUACCUGCGACAAGUUAUUCGGAACGGAGGGAGUAUAAU
This is a non-coding RNA of Triticum aestivum (bread wheat), 116 nucleotides long. The record is from Rfam. NCBI's taxonomy places the organism in Eukaryota, Viridiplantae, Streptophyta, Magnoliopsida, Poales, Poaceae.